Molecule: ribosomal RNA, 1248 nt
Filed under: metagenome
Description: bacterial LSU rRNA
Rfam family: Bacterial large subunit ribosomal RNA
Source: RNAcentral
UAUACGACCGUACCGCAAACCGACACUGGUGCGCGAGAUGAGUAUUCUAAGGCGCUUGAGAGAACUCAGGAGAAGGAACUCGGCAAAUUGACACCGUAACUUCGGAAGAAGGUGUGCCCUAUUAGUGUGUAGUGAACAACGAAGCAUGAAUGGGUUGCAAAAAAUCGGUGGCUGCGACUGUUUAUUAAAAACACAGCACUCUGCAAACACGAAAGUGGACGUAUAGGGUGUGACGCCUGCCCGGCGCUGGAAGAUUAAAUGAUGGGGUGCAAGCUCUUGAUUGAAGUCCCAGUAAACGGCGGCCGUAACGAUAACGGUCCUAAGGUAGCGAAAUUCCUUGUCGGGUAAGUUCCGACCUGCACGAAUGGCGUAACGAUGGCCACACUGUCUCCUCCUGAGACUCAGCGAAGUUGAAAUGUUUGUGAUGAUGCAAUCUCCCCGCGGAAAGACGGAAAGACCCCAUGAACCUUUACUGUAGCUUUGUAUUGGACUUUGAACAGAUCUGUGUAGGAUAGGUGGGAGGCUUUGAAGCAGGGUCGCUAGAUCUUGUGGAGCCAACGUUGAAAUACCACCCUGGUGUGUUUGAGGUUCUAACCUAGGUCCAUUAUCUGGAUCGGGGACAGUGCAUGGUAGGCAGUUUGACUGGGGCGGUCUCCUCCCAAAGCGUAACGGAGGAGUUCGAAGGUACGCUAGUUACGGUCGGACAUCGUGACGAUAGUGCAAUGGCAUAAGCGUGCUUAACUGCGAGACUGACAAGUCGAGCAGAUGCGAAAGCAGGACAUAGUGAUCCGGUGGUUCUGUAUGGAAGGGCCAUCGCUCAACGGAUAAAAGGUACUCUGGGGAUAACAGGCUGAUACCGCCCAAGAGUUCACAUCGACGGCGGUGUUUGGCACCUCGAUGUCGGCUCAUCUCAUCCUGGGGCUGUAGCCGGUCCCAAGGGUAUGGCUGUUCGCCAUUUAAAGAGGUACGUGAGCUGGGUUUAAAACGUCGUGAGACAGUUUGGUCCCUAUCUUCCGUGGGCGCUGCAGAUUUGAGGAAGCCUGCUCCUAGUACGAGAGGACCGGAGUGGACACACCUCUGGUGUAUCGGUUGUCACGCCAGUGGCAUUGCCGAGUAGCUAAGUGUGGAAGAGAUAACCGCUGAAAGCAUCUAAGCGGGAAACUCGUUUCAAGAUGAGAUCUGCCGGGGCCUUGAGCCCCCUAAAGAGUCGUUCAAGACCAGGACGUUGAUAGGUCAGGUGUGGAAGCG